This is a long non-coding RNA of Mauremys mutica (yellowpond turtle), 2015 nucleotides long. RefSeq lists it as uncharacterized. NCBI's taxonomy places the organism in Eukaryota, Metazoa, Chordata, Testudines, Geoemydidae. The record is from RefSeq and is a predicted model, not a curated record. The transcript is spliced from 4 exons.
CCGAGCAAACACGCGGAAGAGGAGCAGUCUAGACACUAGACCCGGACCGGUUGCAAAGCCCGUCACAAAGGCGGCAGUGACCGUCUGCACCACACGCUGGGAAGCGGAGACGGGUGAAGUCAGAGCGACUUCCCCAAGGUCAUUGAUCAAGUCAUGGCCAGCCAGACUCAGGCCCCUGACUGCGUGCCCAGCCUGCGCUUUGAUGACCAGCCAGUGGUGUGCUAGACGGACGGGGGAGGUAAUACCAGUUUCUACUGGUGAAAGAGCCCCGCUUUCCAGCCACACAGCGCUCAGGUAGUCCCAGCAUCACAGCAAAGUGCAACAAAGGAACAGACUCUUUAGCAUCUGACCUUAUACAACAUCAGUUUGUUCUUUCCAGGUUGCACAUUGGAGGACUAACUUAGUGUGUUUGUUUAUACAACUAAAGGACCAUACAGAUCAAUGGUUGGACUCAAACAAACAAGAUAGUGUGCUUCAGAAACUUACUGGAGGUGAUCUAUGAGCCGGAAUAUGAACACAUCAACACUGACCAAAAUGAAGGCACAGUUAUAACAUACAGGAGACAUGCAGAAUCAAUGGUGGAAUGCCAAAGUAGAUGACAUCCAGGGCUAUGAUGACUGUCAUGAGACCUAAGACUUCUAUGCUGCAUUGAAAAUUGUAUAUGGUUCUACACAUACCACUACAGUGCCUUUGAAGAGUGUGGACAGCCUAACAAUAGUCACUGACAAAGGAGAAAUCCUUCAGAAGUGGCGACAGCAUUUCAGUGAUCUUUUUCCCAUACCGACCAACAUCACAAACGAGUCACUAGAUGAAGUCAAUGCUGCAAUCAGUGCCAUGAAGAACUGCAGGGCUCCUGGAUCUGAUGGCAUACCUGCAGAAAUAUUUGAGUAUGGAGGUGAGAUCAUUCUGAGGCAACUACAUGGACUAUAUCUCAUAUAUGGAGUAGUGAAGACAUAUCUCAAGAUUUCAAAGACACCACUGUCACCAUAUACAAAAGGAAAGAUGGAAAGUCGAACUGUGAUAACUAUUUUGGUAUUUUAUUACUCUCCAUUGCUAGAAAGGUUCUGACUAGAGAAGGUCACCAAGGUCUUCAAGGUAAUUGUUCAUAGACUGCCAUAUGCUGCUGACUGUGUUCUAGAGGCACAUACUCUAGAAGAGAGACAAUUGAUUACAAACAGAUUUGUAGACCCUGCAGAAAGGUAUGGUCCAACAAUCAAUCUAAAAAAGACAGAGGUCACGUAUCAACCUGCACCAGAGAAACCCUACAUGAAACCAAAAGUCACCCUCAGCAACAACAGCUGAAUUCUGUUACAGACUUCUGCUGUCUUGGUAGUAUAUUCUCAAAUGAUGUUACUAUAGACAAGGAGCUGACAAGUUGUAACACAAAGCCAGUUCACCAUUUGCCAGAUAUCAGGCAGAGACUGGCAGCAACAUGGCAUUAAGCUUCAAACCAAAUUAAAAGUCUAUUAAGCAGUUGUGCUGUUCAACUUGUUGUAUAGGUGUGAGACCUGGACCUGGCAUCACAUUAAGCUUUCAGAUAAGUUCCAUUUAUGACAUCUGCCUGCCAUACUCUGCAUCAAAUAGCAGGAUAAAGUUACCAAUAACGGGGUUCUGGAAUGUAGUCACUCCACAGGGACUGAAGCCGUGCUUAUCGCAUCACAUUUACGUUGGGUUGGUCAUGUGUUGAGAAUGGACAACACCAGAAUGCCAAAGCAGUUGCUGUUUAGUGAACUGAAAGAGGGCAACCACAUAUGAAGCGGCCAGAAGAAACACUUCAAGGACACACUAAACUGUGCAAUACUGGUGUUGUCAGCAACAGAUAGAUCACACUCAGCAAUGGGGUUACCCAGUUAAGAUUAACUGUUAUGUGGAUCUUGAAGCAUGGAGGCUGAGUCUUAAACAGCAGCAGACUCAGCAGGCAGAGACUGUAAUCCCUUCCUCAGCACUGAGUUACCUCUGUACUUCAUAAGGAAAGGACUGCCCAGGGCCAGUUCCAGCUUUUUUGCCGGCCCAAG